GAUGAACGCUGGCGGCGUGCUUAACACAUGCAAGUCGAGCGGAGAUAUAUUGAGAGCUUGCUUUUGAUAUAUUUUAGCGGCGGACGGGUGAGUAACGUGUGGGCAACCUGCCUCAUACAGAGGGAUAAUCAUGUGAAAACGUGACUAAUACCGCAUGUCAAUUCGUGAGGGCAUCCUCGUGAAAGAAAAGGAGAAAUCCGGUAUGAGAUGGGCCCGCAUCUGAUUAGCUAGUUGGUGAGAUAAUAGCCCACCAAGGCGACGAUCAGUAGCCGACCUGAGAGGGUGAUCGGCCACAUUGGGACUGAGACACGGCCCAAACUCCUACGGGAGGCAGCAGUGGGGAAUAUUGCACAAUGGGGGGAACCCUGAUGCAGCAACGCCGCGUGAAGGAAGACGGUUUUCGGAUUGUAAACUUCUAUCAAUAGGGACGAAAGAAAUGACGGUACCUAAAUAAGAAGCCCCGGCUAACUACGUG
Molecule: ribosomal RNA, 475 nt
Filed under: uncultured bacterium
Lineage: Bacteria
Description: bacterial SSU rRNA
Rfam family: Bacterial small subunit ribosomal RNA
Source: RNAcentral